AAGUCACAGUGGGCAAGGAGGGGUCUCGCAGUGAGGAUAUCCGGUUUUUCUCUGUGCCGGAAUCUCUCGUUCUCGAGUGGGCGGGGCUGAGGGCAUGUCUACAUGAGACUGGACUUUCUAUCCAUAAUCCCAAACUGACACUUAAGUGCAGAACUGGAGGUAUUCAAAGCUAAGCUGGCAAUUAGAAGUUUGUAUCUUUCAUAGAAUUCCAUUAUCAGAAGCUGUUCCACAGAUGGUACCAGAAUAGCAAACAGCUCCAGAUGGUGCAAUCAUGUGAACAGACACAGAUGAGUGUAGCCUAUUUAUCGGAAUCAUAUGCAGCUGCAGUUACUCAUCUGGAGGCCUGAGGGUAAUGGAAGGCUGGAAAUAAAAAUAAAAAUGAAUAAUACUAAUUCUGAGAAUUUCUUGUGAUUUCUCUCUCUUGAGAUAUAGCAAUUCCUGGAACUCCCAAAUAAUCUUGAAAGAAAGCAAGAAAUGGCCUGCAGAAAAAGCCCAAAUGCCACA
Hemicordylus capensis (graceful crag lizard) is the source of this 504-nucleotide long non-coding RNA. RefSeq lists it as uncharacterized. The record is from RefSeq and is a predicted model, not a curated record. The transcript is spliced from 4 exons. NCBI's taxonomy places the organism in Eukaryota, Metazoa, Chordata, Lepidosauria, Squamata, Cordylidae.